This is a long non-coding RNA of Maniola jurtina (meadow brown), 72 nucleotides long. RefSeq lists it as uncharacterized. The transcript has 3 exons. NCBI's taxonomy places the organism in Eukaryota, Metazoa, Arthropoda, Insecta, Lepidoptera, Nymphalidae. The record is from RefSeq and is a predicted model, not a curated record.
UUGAUAGAAUUCGAGUGUUAAUACAAUAACGUCAGAGUCAAAUGGAUCUAAAAUCCUUGAUUUAAAAUUAAA